Molecule: ribosomal RNA, 510 nt
Filed under: uncultured bacterium
Lineage: Bacteria
Description: bacterial SSU rRNA
Rfam family: Bacterial small subunit ribosomal RNA
Source: RNAcentral
GAUGAACACUAGCUACAGGCUUAACACAUGCAAGUCGAGGGGCGAGCAUGAAGUUUGCUUGCAAACUUUGAUGGCGACCGGCGGAUGGGUGAGUAACGCGUAUCCAACCUGCCCCCUUCCCGGGCACAGCCCUUGGAAACGAGGAUUAACUCCCGAUGGUGUCAGACUAGCGCAUGCUUAUCUGACCAAAUGUUUAAGGAAGGGGAUGGGGAUGCGUCCCAUUAGCUUGUUGGCGGGGUAACGGCCCACCAAGGCUCCGAUGGGUAGGGGUUCUGAGAGGAAGGUCCCCCACACUGGAACUGAGACACGGUCCAGACUCCUACGGGAGGCAGCAGUGAGGAAUAUUGGUCAAUGGAGGCAACUCUGAACCAGCCAAGUAGCGUGAGGGAAGACUGCCCUACGGGUUGUAAACCUCUUUUGUCGGGGAAUAAACCGCGCCACGUGUGGCGCUCUGCAUGUACCCGCAGAAUAAGGACCGGCUAAUUCCGUGCCAGCAGCCGCGGUAAAAGU